This 62-nucleotide transfer RNA is filed under the name Loxosceles similis. Its description in RNAcentral is "tRNA-His". The record is from RNAcentral. Lineage: Eukaryota; Metazoa; Arthropoda; Arachnida; Araneae; Sicariidae.
UUCAAUAUAAGUUUAUUACAUUGGCAUGUGGCGCCAACACAUAACCAAAUAAUAUAUUCGCU